UUCCGGUUGAUCCUGCCAGAGGUCACUGCUAUCGGUGUCCGAUUAAGCCAUGCGAGUCGAGAGGUGUAAGACCUCGGCAGACUGCUCAGUAACACGUGGAUAACCUGCCCAAGGGUCCGGGAUAACCCCGGGAAACUGGGGAUAAUACCGGAUGGGUCACCAGUGCUGGAAUGCUUGGUGGUCGAAAGGUGACGCCUUUGGAUGGGUCUGCGGCGGAUUAGGUUGACGCCGGUGUAACGUACCGGCGUGCCUGUAAUCCGUACGGGUUGUGGGAGCAAGAGCCCGGAGAUGGAUUCUGAGACACGAAUCCAGGCCCUACGGGGCGCAGCAGGCGCGAAAACUCUACAAUGCAGGCAACUGCGAUAGGGGGACAUCGAGUGGCAUCCACCUUGGGUGUCUGUCCAACCGUCUAAAAAACGGUUGUUAGCAAGGGCCGGGCAAGACCGGUGCCAGCCGCCGCGGUAAUACCGGCGGCUCGAGUGGUGGCCGAUAUUAUUGAGUCUAAAGGGUCCGUAGCCGGCUUUGCAAGUCCCCUGGGAAAUCCGGCGGCUUAACCGUUGGGCUUUCAUGGGAUACUACAUUGCUUGGGACUGGGAGAGGUAGGAGGUACUCGGGGGGUAGGGGUGAAAUCCUGUAAUCCUCCGGGGACCACCGGUGGCGAAGGCGUCCUACCAGAACAGGUCCGACGGUGAGGGACGAAAGCUAGGGGCACGAACCGGAUUAGAUACCCGGGUAGUCCUAGCCGUAAACGAUGCCCGCUAGGUGUCACGACGGUCGUGAAUCGUCGUGGUGCCGUAGGGAAGCCGCGAAGCGGGCCACUUGGGAAGUACAGCCGCAAGGCUGAAACUUAAAGGAAUUGGCGGGA
RNAcentral lists this ribosomal RNA (865 nucleotides) under uncultured Methanocella sp. RNAcentral's name for it is "bacterial SSU rRNA". It matches the Rfam family "Archaeal small subunit ribosomal RNA", at positions 1 to 873 of the family's 1478-position model. The record is from RNAcentral. Lineage: Archaea; Methanobacteriati; Methanobacteriota; Methanomicrobia; Methanocellales; Methanocellaceae.